ACGGCUACCUUGUUACGACUUAGCCCCAGUCACCAGUUUUACCCUAGGGCGCUCCUUGCGGUUACGCACUUCAGGUACCCCCGGCUCCCAUGGCUUGACGGGCGGUGUGUACAAGGCCCGGGAACGUAUUCACCGCGCCGUGGCUGAUGCGCGAUUACUAGCGAAUCCAGCUUCAUGAAGUCGGGUUGCAGACUUCAAUCCGAACUGAGAGAGGUUUUUGGGAUUGGCAUCCACUUGCGUGGUAGCAGCCCUCUGUACCCCCCAUUGUAACACGUGUGUAGCCCCGGACGUAAGGGCCGUGCUGAUUUGACGUCAUCCCCACCUUCCUCACAUCUUACGAUGGCAGUCCCGACAGAGUCCUCAGCAUGACCUGUUAGUAACUAUCGGCAAGGGUUGCGCUCGUUAUGGCACUUAAGCCGACACCUCACGGCACGAGCUGACGACAACCAUGCAGCACCUUCACAACCGCUAUUGCUAGCUAUGGCGUUUCCGCCAUAUUCGGUUGCAAUUUAAGCCCGGGUAAGGUUCCUCGCGUAUCAUCGAAUUAAACCACAUGUUCCUCCGCUUGUGCGGGCCCCCGUCAAUUCCUUUGAGUUUCACCGUUG
RNAcentral lists this ribosomal RNA (605 nucleotides) under uncultured bacterium. RNAcentral's name for it is "partial 16S ribosomal RNA". The record is from RNAcentral.